UCCCACUCAUCCAUCAGCUUUCGCAUCGCUCCCGCUCAACCAAUUUUCUGAGAAGAUCUCGCUUGCCACUGCUCAUGGUAUCGCUAAUACGUAUACUCGUCAAACAACACGUUUACCGCGCGAAAUCUGUCUUUCCGUGUCCGAAACCCCGCCGGUAUUCACCUCUUGCCUGCAGGCACCCUUACAGACGUACUGCCUCAUACUCCCUGAUUUCAAUCAAGCCUGCUCAAAGCUCUAGUAGGAGCGCCGACUUGCCUGAUUGAAAUUGGGAAUCUAACCCUAAGCUACCUUCGUCGGUCCUGAAACCGCCUCGCAGUGAAGCAUGGGAGUUGUUGACUAGCCGAUUCAUUUUGGCAAAAGGCAGCUCUUCCAGAGCCGAAAGGCAGCUGAAAGACGGAUCACCAUGCGUUUUUCAAGUCCACCACUCGGACACGCGUCGGUAUCCUAUGCUGGAUGCUCCAUGCGGAUCAACAGGGAUGGGUUUGUCUAUGCUGGAGAUUAGAAACUGAGGAACAGCCGUGCGGAUUGAUCGAGCAUUCUUGGAUGUAUUUCGCUGGCUGGCAUCAAUGCGGACCCAAAAUAUCUUUGGCAGAAACAUUGCAUGUCGCCAGGCGAAAUGUUUCUGAACACAACAGCUGUCUUGAGGACUAGCCUACACGCGGUCAUACAGUUGGGCUGCUAUAGGGAAGAUCCACUUGCCAGAAUCAAUUGAAUCAACCGAACCCAGACUUCGGCUAAACGCAUUCGAUUGUAGCAAGGUUUUCUCUAUUGCUCCUCACAAGUAUGACUCUUGGGAGUUCAAAACUGUCCCCAAUAACUCUGGCCUGUUGUCACGUUCCGGUAUCGAUCUUUCCGCCGACCCAGCUUCGCCAACCACGUACUCUGUCUCUAAAGCUAGCCACCUCAAAUCACGGCACCAGCCAUCGAUUUGCUUCGUACAUCGAAGGUCCGAUCCACUGCGUUAACCGUCUCUUUGCAAUGUAGAUUGCAAAUUGAUCGCACGGGCUCCGACACCUAUCCUUUGGGAUAGAAACAAAUAAAGCGGUUUUUCUGGAUGUUUUUUGGCCGCCCUCCAGUCUCGGAGAGAAAACGAAAAACUUGUCCCUGGAAGUACUCUGUCACACACGAGUGGUCGAUAUACCGCAGGGUAAAAAUUCGCGACAUGAUUCUACAGGUCCCUCGGCGCAGAAAAACCACGACAAGCAUUCCAGCAAAAUGCCCUCUGAAACGGACAUGCCGAGAUCUUCUCAGAAAAGCUUGUGAAAGGGAUGCAGCUGCGAUAAGCAUGUUCACUAAGCCCCACCGUCCAGACCCUGCGAUACUCUUCCUUCAAACUCAACGACCCUUUCCAUCCAUUCCGUGCCUCUCUACUGAAGGUGCUGGAACCAACGAUGGCGGGACCUCUCUCGUGUGAGGCUCAAAGUUUAGGCUUGUCUGCUGUUUGUUCGGUGAAAGUUCCUGUAGGUUUGACACUCAUGGGUAAACUGAUCGGGUUUUGUGUCUCUGGAGAAAGAAUCGGAGUGUGUUCUGCUGGUGUGGGCUGGUGAAUGGGCCGUUUCCCUUCGGGGGACGGUCCCCCCCUUUUUUU
This 1588-nucleotide non-coding RNA is filed under the name Aspergillus nidulans. The record is from RNAcentral. Lineage: Eukaryota; Fungi; Ascomycota; Eurotiomycetes; Eurotiales; Aspergillaceae.